GCCGCGCAGCACCGCGCACACAAAGUUGUCGCUCGGUUCGCAGCCGUGCGGACACGGGCUCGACCCCGGCGCUGCAGCCCGGCCGCCUGCGCCCGAGAAGAGGGGGCGGGAAAACCGACGGGAAACUUCUCAAGAACCGUCCUGACAGCGUAUCGGUGAUGACAGGAGCGGCACCGGGACCGCUCCCGCCGCAGCCCCGCACAGGCGCCCCGGGCACAGGGCACCCUCCCGUCCUGGGGAAGGAUAACGCUGACGGCCCGUAAGCCGUCGCCAAAUUGCUCAUCGGACACGGCGAGGUCAUGCAAGAUAUCAUGAUCUUAAAGUAUUUUCCAGGAAAUUAGCGGAAAUAGAUUGGAUUACGUUGACUCCGCUCCUUGCGUAUGCCUUAUCCUGCUUGCAGACCCAGUACCUCGAGCGUGAUCCUCUGACAAGGGGAACAUUGUCCUCAUCAGCUAACACCGAUAUCACAAAACUCAGCUAAUUGUAAAUGUAAAGUAGAUAAUGGCUGACACAGCAUCAAGGCUUCUCUUCUGCUUCUCAUCCCACCCCACCAGUGAGGAGGCUGCGGGUGCACAGUGAGUUGGGAGAAGACACGGCCAACACAACUGACCCCAGUUGACCCAAAGGAUAUUCCAUAUCCUAUGGCAUCAUGCUCAGCAUAUACAGCUGGGGGAAGAAAAAAGGGGAGACAUUUUGAGUGAUGGUUGUCUUCCCAAGUCACCCUUCCGUGUGAAGGAGCCCUGCUCUCCUCAGGAUGGCUGGACACCUGCCUGCCCAUGGGGAGGGCUGAAUUAAUUCCUUGUUCUGCUUCAUCUAUACACAUGGCUUUUGCUCUGUCUGUUAAACUGUCUUUA
Long non-coding RNA from Poecile atricapillus (Black-capped chickadee), 854 nucleotides. RefSeq lists it as uncharacterized. The record is from RefSeq and is a predicted model, not a curated record. The transcript has 3 exons. Lineage: Eukaryota; Metazoa; Chordata; Aves; Passeriformes; Paridae.